GCCUACGGGGGGCAGCAGUGGGGAAUCUUCCGCAAUGGGCGAAAGCCUGACGGAGCAAUGCCGCGUGAGUGAAGAAGGCCUUCGGGUUGUAAAACUCUGUCCUUAUCGAAGAGAGGUGGGUAUGUGAAUAAUGUACUCAUAGGACGGUAGAUAAGGAGGAAGCCCCGGCUAACUACGUGCCAGCAGCCGCGGUAAUACGUAGGGGGCGAGCGUUGUCCGGAAUCACUGGGCGUAAAGGGCGCGUAGGCGGUUGAGUAAGACAGAUGUGAAAUCCCCGAGCUUAACUCGGGAAUGGCAUAUGUGAC
Molecule: ribosomal RNA, 305 nt
Filed under: uncultured bacterium
Lineage: Bacteria
Description: bacterial SSU rRNA
Rfam family: Bacterial small subunit ribosomal RNA
Source: RNAcentral